CCCGAACCUUGCAUAUAUUAUGCAUUGUCCUUACCAACUGAGCUAAGCUUACGAGGACAAAACUAAUUGAUUUAUAUAUGAAGAGAAUGAGCUUUAUAAAUAUAAAGUGAUAAAAACAAUCGCUACAAGAAAAGUAACAAAAUAUGGCUAAAAUUUUCAAGUUUGUUUAUGUUAUGAUUAUCAUUAUUUCCCUUCUGUUGGUUGCAAUGAAUGCUCAAGGGUACUGCUUAGUUGAUGCUGAUUGUGUAACACUUGUCUGCAACUUUGAUGAGAAACGGAAGUGUUUGCGAAGCACUUGUGUAUGCCGUAAAUUUCGGUUUACAGGAUUUUAUUAUGAGCAGCUUCAUUGAUGCAUUUGAAAGAGAAACAAUGAAUUUGCAGAAGCAGAAGCAGAAGCAGGAGGUUCUGGAAGCCAAAAUGGAAUUUGUAAUGGCCAAGAAAGAUGAAAUGAGAAGUGAUAUCAAGGCCAUUUUGAACCUUUUGAAAACAAUAAACCCUUGGGAAUAUUUAUUUACCCUUUAUUUUUUUUUUUGCACAAUCUUUUUGUUUUGAAUUUUAUUAUGUAUCAAAACAUUUUUACUGUUUCUAAAUGAAUUUAUUUCUCAGUA
This is an RNA transcript of Medicago truncatula (barrel medic), 608 nucleotides long. RefSeq lists it as uncharacterized. NCBI's taxonomy places the organism in Eukaryota, Viridiplantae, Streptophyta, Magnoliopsida, Fabales, Fabaceae. The record is from RefSeq and is a predicted model, not a curated record. The transcript has 3 exons.